Molecule: unclassified non-coding RNA, 279 nt
Filed under: plant metagenome
Description: partial contains small subunit ribosomal RNA, internal transcribed spacer 1, and 5.8S ribosomal RNA
Source: RNAcentral
UUUCCGUAGGUGAACCUGCGGAAGGAUCAUUAUUAAUUCAACGGGGUGGUCGCGGCCUCCGGGGGCUUGCACGUGGGCGGCAGAGGAAACACCUUCACCCGACACAUGUCGCACUCAUUUGUUUAAGCGCACCGUUCGUUCUCUUUCUUGGGGGCAACCUGCCGUUGGAAUUUACAAAAACUUUUUUUGCAUCUAGGAUUACAUUUUUAGAUACAGACAAUCCAUACAACUUUCAACAAUGGAAAUAUUGGCUCUUGCAUCUAUGACGAACGCAGAAAA